This 425-nucleotide ribosomal RNA is filed under the name uncultured bacterium. RNAcentral describes it as "partial 16S ribosomal RNA". It matches the Rfam family "Bacterial small subunit ribosomal RNA", at positions 354 to 796 of the family's 1533-position model. The record is from RNAcentral.
GUGGGGAAUCUUGCGCAAUGGGCGAAAGCCUGACGCAGCCAUGCCGCGUGAAUGAUGAAGGUCUUAGGAUUGUAAAAUUCUUUCACCGGGGACGAUAAUGACGGUACCCGGAGAAGAAGCUCCGACUAACUUCGUGCCAGCAGCCGCGGUAAUACGAAGGGGGCUAGCGUUGCUCGGAAUUACUGGGCGUAAAGGGCGCGUAGGCGGACAGCUUAGUCAGAGGUGAAAGCCCAGGGCUCAACCUUGGAAUUGCCUUUGAUACUGGCUGUCUUGAGUUUGGGAGAGGUGAGUGGAACUCCGAGUGUAGAGGUGAAAUUCGUAGAUAUUCGGAAGAACACCAGUGGCGAAGGCGACUCACUGGCCCAAUACUGACGCUGAGGCGCGAAAGCGUGGGGAGCAAACAGGAUUAGAAACCCCGGUAGUCC